Molecule: long non-coding RNA, 535 nt
Filed under: Bos indicus x Bos taurus (hybrid cattle)
Lineage: Eukaryota; Metazoa; Chordata; Mammalia; Artiodactyla; Bovidae
Description: lncRNA (ENSBIXG00005022824.1)
Source: RNAcentral
GCCUCACUGCUUUGGAUCCAGAGCCACCACCCCGGGAGGCCUGUGGUCCUUGAGUGCUGGGUGAGCGAACACCAGGCUGGCUGGAGACUCAGCAUUGCCUGGGGCUUUCGGGAACUUCCUUCAGAUAAUCACCCUGCCAGACAGUGGAGGACUGCCAGACGAAUUAGGAAGACCUGCCUGACAGGGCCUUUAAAGAUGCCUUUGAGAAGAGGAAAUGCUCUCCUUUCUGAGAAGGAUACCUGUUCAGGUGUUUUUCAGAAUCCAAACUCCAGUUUCAAUUGUGAUUCAAAUAACUCCUAUGCUCCACCAGGCUCAGCCUCUACUAGUCAAAGAAACUUGGCUAAAUAAUCAAGAGGAAACAAAAUGCAAUUCAAAUUCUCACUUGCAUUUUUCAAAGGAUAUUGAGGGGAUCCAGGUCACAGCCCACAAGACACUUCUGAAAAAUGCCUUUUGCCUCCUGCUUGGCUCUCACACGCAGCAAAUUACUUCUGAGCCCCUCGUUCAGCACAGCCUCCAUGUUCAUUCCCUGCACUAA